RNAcentral lists this ribosomal RNA (380 nucleotides) under uncultured Nitrososphaerota archaeon. RNAcentral describes it as "bacterial SSU rRNA". It matches the Rfam family "Archaeal small subunit ribosomal RNA", at positions 471 to 851 of the family's 1478-position model. Lineage: Archaea; Thermoproteati; Nitrososphaerota. The record is from RNAcentral.
UAAAACCAGCACCUCAAGUGGUCAGGAUGAUUAUUGGGCCUAAAGCAUCCGUAGCCGGCUUUGUUAGUUUUCGGUUAAAUCCAUGUGCUCAACACAUGGGCUGCCGAAAAUACUGCAUGGCUAGGGAGUGGGAGAGGUAGACGGUACUCAGUAGGAAGGGGUAAAAUCCUUUGAUCUAUUGAUGACCACCUGUGGCGAAGGCGGUCUACCAGAACACGUUCGACGGUGAGGGAUGAAAGCUGGGGGAGCAAACCGGAUUAGAUACCCGGGUAGUCCCAGCUGUAAACGAUGCAGACUCAGUGAUGCAUUGGCUUGUGGCCAAUGCAGUGUUGCAGGGAAGCCGUUAAGUUUGCCGCCUGGGAAGUACGUACGCAAGUAUG